UUGUUGUCAGGAAAGUUGCAUAAAUGUGGUUUAGAAGAACUCCACGGCAUCAGGUUUGUUUUAUGUUUUGUACCUCUCAUAUGUCAUGUUCCUUAUGAAAAGUAGACAUAUGUUUCCUUGUUUUCUUUUUCAGUGCUCUUAAUUUGUUAGUCCAACUUCCUGUAGGCCGCGCGCCACUUGACCCUUGUCUUUGAGCGCUUGUUACGCACCUGUUCCUGAUUGUCACGCAGGAGGCUCACUUGUCUGUGAUUGCCUUCAGGAGGGUUCUGUCCGUUGACCAGCCUGUUUUGGACUUUGUGACUUGUACUUUAAUGAGUCCGACUGCUGCACUAAAAAGCCAGUGCCAACCUUCCCUGACUUAAAUAAAGCACUAUAGACUGUGAUUGCUGCCAUGUCGCCGCAUCCUGAGGGCUCAGCUGGACAUCACAGUCGCUAUCGCGCAAGAUGGGACGGGAGGAGGAAAUGGAGAAGAACAGAGAAAGAGAUUGGAUACGGUGAAAUCUAAGGAACCAAUCUGAGGAUAUCAAUACUGCCGGGAUGACCAUCACAAGGCCCAGCCAAGCAUGCAGAAGAAGGCCCUGUCAUCACAGCCACAAUCCUGGUUAAAGCAUGAACAGGGGAAUGACUCUAUCAAUAAUUCAGCACACUUCACCUCCCCGCUCACCACAGCGGGAUGCUAUGUUAGUGUGUGUGUGGGGGCGACGAUUGUGAUGCUGAAAGAAAAAACAAGCAGAAGAAAGCCAAGAGGAAAAUGUAGCAUAGCUGUGAUGCAAGUAUGGAAAUGCACAAUUAAUGUGCAGAGAGCUGCUUCAUGCUCUCUGGGGGAUUUCAGUCCUUCCCUUCAACCAAUCAAUUUAAUACGCUCCCAGUCAUUUGGUUCCUACGUGCAGCUCCCACUGCUAACCAGGAACAAUGAGCAGAGCCAGAUUGUGUUUCAGCAAGCCUGGACGGUGUAACACGACCCUGCAGACAAGAAUCUGUAGCCACUGGCUAUGCAUGCUGACAAUAUGCUAAUCCAUCACCAAUCAGACAAGCACACGCCUUUCAACCAUCAGCGACGGAACACUUAGAAACCACUUGUAGCGCACUUUUCGGUCAUUGUAAAACGAACCUCACAAUUGCAAACUUCUGUAUUGUUUUUUUUCUUCUUUUUGCUCGGAUCAAAGAAUUGUGGGGCUUUUUUUUGGACAAGGGUGAACUUUGAAGCCCAUGUGGAGCAGCUGUAAUCCAUCAGCAUUUCUCUGCUGUGCCAUGUCCGCGUGCUGAUCAAAUAACCCACUUCUACUGCCCAGCGUCCAAAGACCAUAGCAUAAAUACAUAAUGCAAUAUCAACACAAUUCUGCUGCACGCAAUAUAUGUUACAAGCAGCUGUUUCGGUAAGCCCGACAGGGGGAAAGCAAAGAGUGUUAACAGCAUUAGCCAGCAAAGCAAGGACAGCGAGAGAAAACGACAUUUAUGAUUGAUUAUGUGGUAAAAGGCUAAGAAAACAAAGUUGGCCUUUGAUAGUACUCUUUACAGUUCUGUAAAACUAGCUGACUUUCAUUAAUACAGAGAUUUCAAUUAAGGGAAAUGUGAAAUAAUACCUCACUUUUUGUAUACAAACAUACAAACACAUGACGAAAAAAACGGAUACAUUAAAAUUUAACAUCACUCAUACCUUUUAGUAAAGAUGUUUGUUAGUGAUGACGGCAUUAGCCAGACGCAUGCUAGUUUUGUACUUUUGUAUUUUGUGGUUCUACUCAAUUUGAAAAAAACAGUCUUAGUCACAAAGACGUGGGAUUCUUUGUUUGGGCAAUUAAAUCCACGGAAUUAUACAUUCUGCAAUGUUUGGUCGUACGAUAACCAAAACAGGUAUAGAAAAUCGGGGCAAACCCUCAGUAAAGAUCUGUGUCGAAAACCGUAUUCUACAAAAAGUGGUUCAUACAGAAAGUCAGGUACUUCUGUGUUAAGUCCUCUGAUGGGCCAAAACAAUGGACCCGGGGUCUCUCUGUGGGGAGUUUUCGUGUUCUCCCCGUGACUGCGUGGACUCCCUCUGGGUACUCCGGCUUCCUCCUAUCUCCAUAGACAUGCACCUGGAGAUAGGUUUAUUGGCAACACUAAAUUGGCCCUAGUGUAUGAAUGUGAGUCUA
Long non-coding RNA from Nerophis ophidion (straightnose pipefish), 2129 nucleotides. RefSeq lists it as uncharacterized. The transcript is spliced from 3 exons. Lineage: Eukaryota; Metazoa; Chordata; Actinopteri; Syngnathiformes; Syngnathidae. The record is from RefSeq and is a predicted model, not a curated record.